CUGAGGGGAGCGAAAGCCACACUGCCGCACUCCCGGCCACGGGCCACAACCUGCGGGCCUUCGUCCGUCAGGGCCUGGACGCUUCUGCUACUCCACUCCUUGUGCGAACACAUCGACACAUAUUAGCGCCCGACUGUGCCACCAAGCUCAAAUCAGGGGCUGCAAGAUUCCAUCACUAGUCUUCGUGUGGUUGUCUUGGUCUUGGAUUGUAAAGCCCAGUUUGGGAUUUUGCUACAACUGCUCAUUCAGUGAGGAUUCUGAUCGAAGACGAUCAGAAGGAGAAAGGACUUUGCCCAAGUAACUCCAGCUGGUUAUAUUGACACACUAUAUGAAUGUAACGCCAUACAGAGGCAUGUUUCAUGUGUGGCAGAGGACUAGAGGUAAUUAAAACUUCAUCUGAGGAAGCAAUCUACAAAGUCAAGUGGAGCAAUAGCGUCCAAGCAGUCUUGUUGCUAUGUUCUUGCUUUUGCUGUACACAAAGAGGCCGGGAUUGAGCAAGGGCGCUGGAGAUAUUGUGUCAAUAGUGGGCAUCUUGAUGCAGUUGCGCUUGUCGAAGUUGAGCUUGUUCCCACGCACGACUUGUAGUUGUAAACUUAUGCAUUUGGGGCUAUUAAAGGGAGGCAAUUGACGUGCAUGUCAAGAGGAGUUAUUCUGCGGCAACCCAGAGAGUCAUGUUUGAUCAUUAAAAGAAAUGGCCACGGAUCCCCACGGACGCCGCCACUGCCGCGGAUCCCCGCGGAUGAUGCAGACGCCGCCGGAGAGAGCAGGAUUUGGUCG
Aegilops tauschii subsp. strangulata is the source of this 777-nucleotide long non-coding RNA. RefSeq lists it as uncharacterized. Lineage: Eukaryota; Viridiplantae; Streptophyta; Magnoliopsida; Poales; Poaceae. The record is from RefSeq and is a predicted model, not a curated record.